This 492-nucleotide ribosomal RNA is filed under the name uncultured bacterium. RNAcentral describes it as "partial 16S ribosomal RNA". It matches the Rfam family "Bacterial small subunit ribosomal RNA", at positions 29 to 507 of the family's 1533-position model. The record is from RNAcentral.
AGUGAACGCUGGCGGUAGGCCUAACACAUGCAAGUCGAACGGCAGCACAGUAAGAGCUUGCUCUUACGGGUGGCGAGUGGCGGACGGGUGAGGAAUACAUCGGAAUCUACUUUUUCGUGGGGGAUAACGUAGGGAAACUUACGCUAAUACCGCAUACGACCUACGGGUGAAAGCAGGGGAUCUUCGGACCUUGCGCGAUUGAAUGAGCCGAUGUCGGAUUAGCUAGUUGGCGGGGUAAAGGCCCACCAAGGCGACGAUCCGUAGCUGGUCUGAGAGGAUGAUCAGCCACACUGGAACUGAGACACGGUCCAGACUCCUACGGGAGGCAGCAGUGGGGAAUAUUGGACAAUGGGCGCAGGCCUGAUCCAGCCAUACCGCGUGGGUGAAGAAGGCCUUCGGGUUGUAAAGCCCUUUUGUCGGGAAAGAAAAGCAGCAGGUUAAUACCCCGCUGUUCUGACGGUACCCAAAGAAUAAGCACCGGCUAACUUCGUG